UUUUUAGACCUAUAUAAACCUAAUCAAUUGUCGUAAACUUGUUGUAAGACAAAAGAAAAAAGAUGCCUAUAGCUAGAAACAUAAUUGUAAUGUUGAUUAUUGCAGUGAUUAUUUGUUCUGCCAUUAUCGUAGAGUCUCAUGGCAUUAUUACUCCAGAAAAGUACUGGACUCCAUCUUAUUAUACUGCAUCUAAAAAAAGCUGUUUCAUUGGAUGUCGUAGAAGUUAUGCACGUAAUAGGGUAAUGAGGAGGGACUGCAUUAAGAAAUGCUUUGUUUGAUAUGGAGCAGUUUGGUAACUGUAAGUUUUAUUUUUUUUAUUUUCAAUUGUAUAAUUAGAUGUUGUAAUCAUUUUGGGUUGGUCGUGGAUAGCUCAUUUGUCUGAUAAGUAAGUGUUAGGGUUCGAAUUUUAUCUUGUACAUGUAGCAACUUAUUAGCUAGCCGAAAAUUUUUAAAUAGAAUUUCAGUCUGUAACGAAUUAGUCAUUGGCUUGUCAAAAAAAAUAUUAUGGAAAAUAAAAAACUGUUUUAUUUCAGUUUAAUUUAUAUAACUAAUUUGAACCUGAAACACUAAUUCCAUG
Molecule: long non-coding RNA, 577 nt
Filed under: Arachis ipaensis
Lineage: Eukaryota; Viridiplantae; Streptophyta; Magnoliopsida; Fabales; Fabaceae
Description: long non-coding RNA (AIPA_LNC000318)
Source: RNAcentral